GGGGCGGCGUGCUAUAAUGCAAGUCGAGCGGACAGAUGGGAGCUUGCUCCCUGAUGUUAGCGGCGGACGGGUGAGUAACACGUGGGUAACCUGCCUGUAAGACUGGGAUAACUCCGGGAAACCGGGGCUAAUACCGGAUGGUUGUUUGAACCGCAUGGUUCAAACAUAAAAGGUGGCUUCGGCUACCACUUACAGAUGGACCCGCGGCGCAUUAGCUAGUUGGUGAGGUAACGGCUCACCAAGGCAACGAUGCGUAGCCGACCUGAGAGGGUGAUCGGCCACACUGGGACUGAGACACGGCCCAGACUCCUACGGGAGGCAGCAGUAGGGAAUCUUCCGCAAUGGACGAAAGUCUGACGGAGCAACGCCGCGUGAGUGAUGAAGGUUUUCGGAUCGUAAAGCUCUGUUGUUAGGGAAGAACAAGUACCGUUCGAAUAGGGCGGUACCUUGACGGUACCUAACCAGAAAGCCACGGCUAACUACGUGCCAGCAGCCGCGGUAAUACGUAGGUGGCAAGCGUUGUCCGGAAUUAUUGGGCGUAAAGGGCUCGCAGGCGGUUUCUUAAGUCUGAUGUGAAAGCCCCCGGCUCAACCGGGGAGGGUCAUUGGAAACUGGGGAACUUGAGUGCAGAAGAGGAGAGUGGAAUUCCACGUGUAGCGGUGAAAUGCGUAGAGAUGUGGAGGAACACCAGUGGCGAAGGCGACUCUCUGGUCUGUAACUGACGCUGAGGAGCGAAAGCGUGGGGAGCGAACAGGAUUAGAUACCCUGGUAGUCCACGCCGUAAACGAUGAGUGCUAAGU
This 800-nucleotide ribosomal RNA is filed under the name Bacillus tequilensis. Its description in RNAcentral is "bacterial SSU rRNA". It matches the Rfam family "Bacterial small subunit ribosomal RNA", at positions 38 to 821 of the family's 1533-position model. The record is from RNAcentral. Lineage: Bacteria; Bacillati; Bacillota; Bacilli; Caryophanales; Bacillaceae.